RNAcentral lists this ribosomal RNA (307 nucleotides) under Amoebophrya sp. Its description in RNAcentral is "SSU rRNA". It matches the Rfam family "Eukaryotic small subunit ribosomal RNA", at positions 595 to 906 of the family's 1831-position model. The record is from RNAcentral. Lineage: Eukaryota; Dinophyceae; Syndiniales; Amoebophryaceae.
UAGCGUAUAUUAAAGUUGUUGCGGUUAAAAAGCUCGUAGUUGGAUUUCUGUUGAGGGCGGCCGGUCCGCACUACGUGCGUGUAUCUGGUCUGGCCUCGGCAUCCUCUCGGAAAACGCUACUGUGCUUGAUUGCAUGGUGUGGGGUUCGGGACUUUUACUUUGAGGAAAUUAGAGUGUUCACGGCAGGCAAUCGCCCUGAAUAUAUUAGCAUGGAAUAAUAAUAUAGGAUCUGUUGCCUAUUUUGUUGGUUUCUAGGCGGUAGAUAAUGAUUAAGAGGGACAGUUGGGGGCAUUCGUAUUAUGGCGUC